Siniperca chuatsi (mandarin fish) is the source of this 1431-nucleotide long non-coding RNA. RefSeq lists it as uncharacterized. The transcript is spliced from 2 exons. Lineage: Eukaryota; Metazoa; Chordata; Actinopteri; Centrarchiformes; Sinipercidae. The record is from RefSeq and is a predicted model, not a curated record.
UAUGGACACACAAGAGCCAGAAGCAGAAGAAAAUGUUUGAAUCACUUUGGGCCAGCUUAUGAUAUACACACCCACACAGACAGCCCCAUGCAAACAUAUUCUCUGGCAAAACACACACUAACAGUUUAAAAUGGUCAGAUAUUUAUCAAUAUCUUGUUAAAAACAUUUAAUGUUUUUAAUUCUAAAGGUUUUGCGUGAUAGUCCUGUGUCCAACAACACAAAAGUUGUCAUUACCCACCAUGUCUUUAACUGGGGGAAAAAAUGUAUUUUAAAAAUAUUUUAGCACAUAACCGCCUAGCUAAACACACUGAGCGCUGCCAGUGCAGGGUAUCAAUUCCACUCACUUGUAUUAUGCUGAAAAAACUCGUAGACAGAGCUACCUCACAAACCUGACAUACCUCACAGGAUUACUUUACACGUAAAGAUUUCUUGAUUUCUUGACAUAAUACACCCUAGACAACUUCCCAGGGGCCCCAGACCCCCCAAGGACCCAAAAGGCCAUGACCUAUGCAGCAGGUCCUUUGUGGUAAUUUGAUUAAUUGAAAUUAUUUUUGGUAAUAUGCACAAUAAAAACUGAAAUGGUAAGGGCAUACUUUCUGCAUGUUUACCUUUUCUUGACCUUAAGGCCCUGUCGUGUAGAAGUGCCCUGUAUCAAAAUGUUGUUUUAGCAUCUUAAAUAUUUCAGUUAAUACUAUGCCUACAUAAUGCAUAUUGUUGCAGUAUAUAAUGAAUUUUCUUUCAAUCACCUUUUAACCAAAGUAACUUAAGGCCCACAGCUCCUGUUGGCCCUGGGGCCAAUUAUGAGAUACAGUGGCUAAUGGGUGGUUUCAUAUGUAACUUCUUAUACAUACUUAUAUCUUGUCUUUCUUUUUAGCAUAAAAUUACCGUUAUUUUGUUUUAUUUUUUAGCAUUUGCAUGCAACUCUGCCUCUGAUUGGUUUACAGACUUUACUGGUGACAUCAGUUGGAAACAGAGAUGUUUUUUUAAGAUGUUUUAUAUAUCAAGCAAUGCUAAAAAGAUAGCUUUUUCAGAUUUGUUGUUGUAUGGUUUUGUGAUAACAUACUUAAUUUAUAAAAUACAAUAUAUCACAGUUCAUCAGGGAUACAACCAUAAAGUCCUGCACUUAUUUCCACUGUAGUCCCUGGUGUUUUCAAUCCAAGAUGGAGACAGUUAUUCAGUGUUAGACACAAGAAAUAAUGGAACUAGACUGGAAAUGUUAAUUAUAUAAGCAAACAAUCUAUUCAAGACACAGAAGACAAGGAAGGCAGCUGAACUUGUAAACUGAUUUUCAUAUUAGCAUUAAGUUCACAUGUAUAACCGCUGACACGUACCUGCACUACACAGACAACAGUCCCUCCCGUCAUGCUUGUAGGUGUCCUCUAGGUUACAUUGGCUUUCUUUCUCUUCCGUUUGGGAGGAGGCGGAAGAAAA